Molecule: ribosomal RNA, 292 nt
Filed under: uncultured bacterium
Lineage: Bacteria
Description: partial 16S ribosomal RNA
Rfam family: Bacterial small subunit ribosomal RNA
Source: RNAcentral
GUGCCAGCAGCCGCGGUAAGACAGAGGGUGCAAACGUUGUUCGGAAUGACUGGGCGUAAAGCGCGUGUAGGCGGCUCGGCAAGUCGGAUGUGAAAGCCCUGGGCUCAACCCAGGAAGUGCACUCGAAACUGCCGAGCUGGAGUCCCGGAGAGGAAGGCGGAAUUCUCGGUGUAGAGGUGAAAUUCGUAGAUAUCGAGAGGAACACCGGUGGCGAAGGCGGCCUUCUGGACGGCGACUGACGCUGAGACGCGAAAGCGUGGGGAGCAAACAGGAUUAGAUACCCUUGUAGUCC